Molecule: ribosomal RNA, 301 nt
Filed under: uncultured bacterium
Lineage: Bacteria
Description: partial 16S ribosomal RNA
Rfam family: Bacterial small subunit ribosomal RNA
Source: RNAcentral
CAGCAGCCGCGGGAAUACGUAGGUGGCAAGCGUUGUCCGGAAUUAUUGGGCGUAAAGGGCUCGCAGGCGGUUUCUUAAGUCUGAUGUGAAAGCCCCCGGCUCAACCGGGGAGGGUCAUUGGAAACUGGGAAACUUGAGUGCAGAAGAGGAGAGUGGAAUUCCACGUGUAGCGGUGAAAUGCGUAGAGAUGUGGAGGAACACCAGUGGCGAAGGCGACUCUCUGGUCUGUAACUGACGCUGAGGAGCGAAAGCGUGGGGAGCGAACAGGAUUAGAUACCCGUGUAGUCCCUGUCUCUUAUAA